RNAcentral lists this non-coding RNA (106 nucleotides) under Halalkalibacter wakoensis. RNAcentral's name for it is "Bacillus wakoensis Glycine sequence". It matches the Rfam family "Glycine riboswitch aptamer". From Rfam's summary of the family: This family represents the bacterial glycine riboswitch. The record is from RNAcentral. RNAcentral also lists the same sequence under 1 other name. Lineage: Bacteria; Bacillati; Bacillota; Bacilli; Caryophanales; Bacillaceae.
AUGAGAAUAAGGGGAGAGCUUGCUACCAUGCAACGCCGAAGGAGCAAGUGUUUGGUAAUGUGUUACCUGCACGAAUCUCUCAGGCAAAAAAGACUCUUAUUUGACG